GUGGGGAAUAUUGGACAAUGGGCGAAAGCCUGAUCCAGCCAUGUCGCGUGUGUGAAGAAGGUCUUCGGAUUGUAAAGCACUUUAAGUUGGGAGGAAGGGCAGUAAGUUAAUACCUUGCUGUUUUGACGUUACCGACAGAAUAAGCACCGGCUAACUUCGUGCCAGCAGCCGCGGUAAUACGAAGGGUGCAAGCGUUAAUCGGAAUUACUGGGCGUAAAGCGCGCGUAGGUGGUUCAGCAAGUUGGAGGUGAAAUCCCCGGGCUCAACCUGGGAACUGCCUCCAAAACUACUGGGCUAGAGUACGGUAGAGGGUAGUGGAAUUUCCUGUGUAGCGGUGAAAUGCGUAGAUAUAGGAAGGAACACCAGUGGCGAAGGCGACUACCUGGACUGAUACUGACACUGAGGUGCGAAAGCGUGGGGAGCAAACAGGAUUAGAUACCCCUGUAGUCC
RNAcentral lists this ribosomal RNA (450 nucleotides) under uncultured bacterium. RNAcentral's name for it is "partial 16S ribosomal RNA". It matches the Rfam family "Bacterial small subunit ribosomal RNA", at positions 354 to 796 of the family's 1533-position model. The record is from RNAcentral.